RNAcentral lists this long non-coding RNA (258 nucleotides) under Elaeis guineensis (African oil palm). RNAcentral's name for it is "long non-coding RNA (EGUI_LNC022606)". Lineage: Eukaryota; Viridiplantae; Streptophyta; Magnoliopsida; Arecales; Arecaceae. The record is from RNAcentral.
GCUGGAGGACACAUGAUGGUACAGUGAGGAGAUUGAGAGAGGUCUGAUAUAUAUUCGAUUUCAGAUGGAAUCUUAUCUCACUGAGCAGACUGGAUUCGAGAGGCUACAGGACGGUAACUGAUUCGCGGUGAUAGGAUUGUUCUGAAGGAGAAGAAGAUGAGAGGACAUUAUUAUUUGAUGGAGAGCCCAGUGCGAGGUGGAGCUUCAAGAGUCAGGAGGAGUUCAGAGCAAGGUGGAGCUCCAGAUGAAGGUGGAUCA